This 257-nucleotide ribosomal RNA is filed under the name Bacillus cereus. RNAcentral describes it as "partial 23S ribosomal RNA". It matches the Rfam family "Bacterial large subunit ribosomal RNA", at positions 1427 to 1679 of the family's 2925-position model. Lineage: Bacteria; Bacillati; Bacillota; Bacilli; Caryophanales; Bacillaceae. The record is from RNAcentral. RNAcentral also lists the same sequence under 2 other names.
AGGUUGAUAUUCCUGUACCACCUCUUUAUCGUUUGAGCAAUGGAGGGACGCAGAAGGAUAGAAGAAGCGUGCGAUUGGUUGUGCACGUCCAAGCAGUUAGGCUGAUAAGUAGGCAAAUCCGCUUAUCAUAAAGGCUGAGCUGUGAUGGGGAAGCUCCUUAUGGAGCGAAGUCUUUGAUUCCCCGCUGCCAAGAAAAGCUUCUAGCGAGAUAAAAGGUGCCUGUACCGCAAACCGACACAGGUAGGCGAGGAGAGAAU